RNAcentral lists this long non-coding RNA (753 nucleotides) under Vitis vinifera (wine grape). RNAcentral's name for it is "long non-coding RNA (VVIN_LNC001155)". The record is from RNAcentral. Lineage: Eukaryota; Viridiplantae; Streptophyta; Magnoliopsida; Vitales; Vitaceae.
UGAGUGGCUAAGUAACACCAGGAACUUUUGAGAAUGCACAAAGAAAUCAGAACAUAUGGUAAGUUCUUUCCUCUUGUUCUUAUAUUACCAGAUUAGAUCAUGCACAAAGCUUAACCACGAGUCUUCCCACUCCCAAGUGUAAGCUCCAGUUCAUCCACUCCUACCUCAUGAAUUCUCUCACCCUCCCACGCCUUCACUCUGCCACUCUCAAACUCAAACUCUGGCCGGCCCCUCUCUGCUGCUGCACCCCAGCCCAGACCUCCAUGCUCAUCAACUGCAUUGGGGAUAGAACACUCCAUAGCCACUGGUUUUACAAGAUUAAAUGUAGGGGAAGAUGGAGCUGCCUGGGGUGCUACUGUCUGGAAACUCACCCAGCGACCAGAAUCAACAGUAGAGGCAUCAGAUUCAUCACAUUCCGGUAUUGUGGCAGGUGUAAGAUGGUUGCGGCGAGUAGGACUAGAGGGGGCUGAUACGGCAAAUAGAGGGUGGCGGAAGGAAUUCAGGGAGCCAUUUGAGAAGGAUUCCCAGUCAGGUUUCCGCUUUGAACCUCUCGAAGUAGGGGAAGAAAGAGGCGGGGUUACAGGAGCACUGUUGGAUAUUCGAAGAGGUGGGAGAGAUGUAGGAAUCGAGGCUAAAUUACGGAGGAAAGGGAGGAGGUAUGAAGAGGGGUUUCCAUCAAACCGAGUGGGGCUCGGGAAAGAGGAGGACGAUGGGCUGGCAUGGUAAGAGGGUACAGGACUUGGGAAGGAUGAG